CGGGAUACGGAUGCUUUUCGCCAGUCCCGCUACGAAAACCAAAGGAAAGGCUAAGCGUGUAGAAACCUUUUUUGCUACUUGUUUGGACGGCGGUUCGAUUCCGCCCGGUUCCACAA
This 116-nucleotide transfer-messenger RNA is filed under the name bacterium. Its description in RNAcentral is "partial transfer-messenger RNA". It matches the Rfam family "transfer-messenger RNA", at positions 257 to 374 of the family's 374-position model. From Rfam's summary of the family: Bacterial tmRNA, also known as 10Sa RNA or SsrA, is named for its dual tRNA and mRNA-like properties. Its role is to liberate the mRNA from a stalled ribosome. The record is from RNAcentral.